GGCUGCACAAGCUCAUCACACUGCAAAACCGUGCCUGUGCCUCUCAGCCCUGCCUUCGUCCCUCCUCCCCUUCCCUGUCUCACUGCAGCUCUGAGCAGGCUGCCUGUCAGUCUACACUCCCGCACCCCCUCCUACCUCCUCCAGGUGUGGGUACUUGACUGCAAUCAAAUACUCUCUCCAGUAAAAGGUGGUGGAGAGAUUUCAUUAUGGGCUAGAGCUGUGGUGCUUGGGGACCUGCUUGCACAAUGGGAGCUUUGUGUGGCUGCGUUAUUCUGCUGCCAGAGGAAGAAGCCUGGAGUGCUGGAAGAUGCUCGUGUGUGCUGGGAACUCAUAGAUGUUCAAAACUCAGUUGGACAUCUGAGCCUGAAGUGGACUGAUGUUCAAAGGACCUUGCCAACUUAUCUUAUGACUCUUGGGUUAGGUGGACAGAAACCUUCAGCUCUCUUUAAGCAUUGCCCCUGACUCUCUCUGGAUUUGGCUGAUGGUGUCAACUUGAUCUCCAUGAUUUUACUAGGGGUUAAAGAUUUAAUGCAGAAACAUCUACAAGCGUGUGAUUCAGGCAUCUACAGCAUGGAGGUGAAUCUCCCCUUGAAGUUUGCACUCUGCUCCUAUUCAGCUACAAUUUCUUGUUUAAAAGCGGGGUGUUUGGGUCAGUUCUCAGGACUACAUUACAACCAAGACAUAUGCUAUUUUCCGUAUUUCCUAUGUCUAGGAAUUCAAUGAUAUAUGCAUCUCAGUCCCCAUUAAACAUACUGCAUGAUCAUCUGUACUUUCAGGUGUGUGCAGUGACUGAUAAACUCCAUACAUCAAAAUCGUACUUUUUUUUUUAGAACUUUCCUAAAACAAGAGUAACAAUUAACCUGUAUAGCAGGGAAAGAUACUAGUAAUAAUAAUCUUUUACAACUACUCUGCACUUUUGAAGUGCCUCCAGCCUAAACAGACUCCAAAGGCUCACGGUUCCAACAGUGCACUACAAAACAGCUGCAAGUCUUUCUGCUUUGCAAACAAGAAAAUGGGGCUUCCAAGAGGUAAAGCUAUUACCUAGCUAUCACACCGUACCUUGGCAGCUGAGAAGAGGACCCAGAUUGCCUGAGUGCCUUGUGCCUGAGCUGCAAGGCUGCUAGGAGCCUGCAUUGUCAUUUAUUGUGUGUUUGUACACACAGUACAAGCUCUGCUGGACCCUGACCUAGGAAAGAGCCUACAGCCCUUGUUUUAAAAAUAAUCGUGAAGCAACUUCCCCAGAGGCAUUAAGCAGAGCAAGAAGCUUUAGCAGUGCUCUCUUAGGAGCAAGAGCUCUUUUCUGCAGGGGCACAUGAUCCUCCCUCCACCAACUGGCAGCUUUAGACAGAUUCCCCACCACUUGCUAAACAUAGCCCCAAACAGAAUGUCUAUGUAACAUGUCAAGUGUUAGCUGGGACUAAUCAUUCACAUUAUGCAACCGAGUCACAUGCAUGCAUGCGGCAUACAUCAAGCAAGCUUCUGCCCUGGUUGCAGCAAUAGCCCUACCUCCAGCUGAGCAGUAAUUAUUGUUACUCUGCAAGAUGAAGGAGGUAAAAGGCUUCUGCCACCACUCCCUGCUGUAUUCAGAGCUUUUUGGUGACCUCAAGCUGGGAUGGAUCUGGUGGCAGCUUCUUAUUAACUCCAUUCCAUAUCUACAUCCACACGGGGCCUCCUGCCUGAUUACAGAGUUUGGUUCCCAGUGAAUGGGCCCAGUGAGGGCUGGGGCCCCCAUCCCACUGUCACAGCUGUCCUUGCAGGGGUGUUGAUAGUCCUCAAAUUGCUACCCACAGCUCCCAUCUCCUUGAAGAUGAAGUGAGACAAUUUGUGGGGAAAGAUCCACACAUUGGCUUCCUGUAACACAAGGUGUUUGAUUCCUGGACACCUUCAAGGGUUAAAACUGCUUACACCAGGGCUGGGGCAACUCAUUGGGCAGUUGUUACUUCAAUCAGUAUCUCAGAGAAAUUGCAUCCAAAAAUAACUGAUGUUAUCUUCAUCUUCCAGGUAUCAGGGCCACUUUAACAAUCUCAGAAAUCGCCUUUCCCUGAAUUUCUGAAUUUUCAAUGCAUUUCUUCAUCUUGCAUUGGGAAAUUACAGAUUUUUCCUUGUAUUUCUGCGUUUUCCCCUUUGCCAGGGAAAACAAUAAUCUAUUUUCUAUAAAUGAGGACCUAUUUUUUUUUUGUUAGGCAUGACAAUAAGUAGAGUGGAUUUGGUCCCAGAACCUCUCCUCGCUCUGCCCUGGUCACCUACAACCAACCCUUGGCAGAUCAAUGUGAGGCACCCACCAACUACCCUGAACCACUAGCACACCCAGGUCUCUCUCUACCUUUCUCCUUUCUGUGAGCCAUCCCUCAAUCUCGUGUGGGAUCUAAAGCAAAUUCCUGGGAGGUGAGGGAAGACGCAUGUCUUGUGUCUGCGUGUGCGAGACAGAGCUGCCUGCCGAGCGCAAACCUGCAUUUGGGCCUGCUCCGAGCAGGCAUCGGGCUCUGAUGCUGGGCAGGAUCUUGGUCAGCGCAUCCCGCCAGGGUGCUGAGAUGCUGAGCUUUCCCAGGUGUAUGGAAGUAUGAAGUUUGCUCUCCCAUUUCCACAGAGCUAAUGCUAAAUAUACUCCUAUGUCUUAUUCCAGCCCUUCCCUGCUUAUUCGCAUGUAGUGCAUGAAGGCGUUACUCCCCUCUUCUCCCAAAAACUCUAUCCCAACCUGUCUAGCACAUCAAACCCUUCUUCAAAAAAAUCCUGCAACCUUAGUGUGUGACGGAGCACAUGGCUGAGUUGAGUGAUGGCCAGUCCACCUCCAGUGGAGAUGCAGCCCUUCUGUCUUUUCCCAUGCAAACGCAGCCCCCUAAGUGCAAAGCACCAGUCCCACUAAAGGGCAAAGGAGAGGCUGAAACCCGUUUAGCUCCAUGGCAAAUCCUUGCCCACUGUGUACGGUUCCCGUUAGCCUGCAGGUAGUAAGAGGCCCCAGCUGUGUGGGACCCAAGAAGAGACACUCUACUGGGAAACAGCAAAGGAGGAAUAUCGCAUGAAGAGAUGCUGCAGGGCUUGACAUACAUUUUAGCAAUGGCAACUUCAAAACACUCCAUGGAUUCAAAUGGAUGUUGGAGAGCAUUAAGAAACACUCUUGGCCCCAGAUGGAAAUUCAGUUACAACUUGACUGAAGUUUAAUCCUGACAGUUAGCUGUGCAGCACAAGGGAUCAUCUUCUGCUUUCCCCCAGGGGCAAUAAAGUGCCUGUCUUUGUUACUGGACGCUGUACU
This 3250-nucleotide long non-coding RNA is filed under the name Anas platyrhynchos platyrhynchos (common mallard). RNAcentral describes it as "lncRNA (ENSAPLG00000022261.1)". The record is from RNAcentral. Lineage: Eukaryota; Metazoa; Chordata; Aves; Anseriformes; Anatidae.